AUACGUAGGUGGCAAGCGUUGUCCGGAAUUACUGGGUGUAAAGGGCGUGUAGGCGGGAGUGUAAGUCAGAUGUGAAAACCCGGAGCUCAACUUCGGGAUUGCAUCUGAAACAAUGCUUCUUGAGUGCUGGAGAGGAAGGCGGAAUUCCUAGUGUAGCGGUGAAAUGCGUAGAUAUUAGGAGGAACACCAGUGGCGAAGGCGGCUUUCUGGACAGUAACUGACGCUGAGGCGCGAAAGCGUGGGGAGCGAACAGGAUUAGAUACCCUGGUAGUCCACGCUGUAAACGAUGGAUACUAGGUGUAGGAGGUAUCGACCCCUUCUGUGCCGGAGUUAACACAAUAAGUAUCCCACCUGGGGAGUACGGCCGCAAGGUUGAA
RNAcentral lists this ribosomal RNA (377 nucleotides) under uncultured bacterium. Its description in RNAcentral is "bacterial SSU rRNA". It matches the Rfam family "Bacterial small subunit ribosomal RNA", at positions 523 to 898 of the family's 1533-position model. The record is from RNAcentral.